This 373-nucleotide ribosomal RNA is filed under the name uncultured bacterium. RNAcentral's name for it is "bacterial SSU rRNA". It matches the Rfam family "Bacterial small subunit ribosomal RNA", at positions 93 to 500 of the family's 1533-position model. The record is from RNAcentral.
UAGUGGCGGACGGGUGAGUAACGCGUGGGAAUCUGCCCUCAGGAGGGGGAUAACGGUUGGAAACGACCGCUAAUACCCCAUAUGCCGAGAGGUGAAACGAAAUUCGCCUGAGGAUGAGCCCGCGUCUGAUUAGCUAGUUGGUGGGGUAAAGGCCUACCAAGGCAUCGAUCAGUAGCUGGUCUGAGAGGACGAUCAGCCACACUGGGACUGAGACACGGCCCAGACUCCUACGGGAGGCAGCAGUGGGGAAUUUUCCGCAAUGGGCGCAAGCCUGGCGGAGCAACGCCGCGUGAGGGAUGAAGGCCUCUGGGCUGUAAACCUCUUUUCUCAAGGAAGAAGAACUGACGGUACUUGAGGAAUAAGCCACGGCUAA